Molecule: ribosomal RNA, 1474 nt
Filed under: Lacticaseibacillus rhamnosus
Lineage: Bacteria; Bacillati; Bacillota; Bacilli; Lactobacillales; Lactobacillaceae
Description: bacterial SSU rRNA
Rfam family: Bacterial small subunit ribosomal RNA
Source: RNAcentral
GGUGCUUGCAUCUUGAUUUAAUUUUGAACGAGUGGCGGACGGGUGAGUAACACGUGGGUAACCUGCCCUUAAGUGGGGGAUAACAUUUGGAAACAGAUGCUAAUACCGCAUAAAUCCAAGAACCGCAUGGUUCUUGGCUGAAAGAUGGCGUAAGCUAUCGCUUUUGGAUGGACCCGCGGCGUAUUAGCUAGUUGGUGAGGUAACGGCUCACCAAGGCAAUGAUACGUAGCCGAACUGAGAGGUUGAUCGGCCACAUUGGGACUGAGACACGGCCCAAACUCCUACGGGAGGCAGCAGUAGGGAAUCUUCCACAAUGGACGCAAGUCUGAUGGAGCAACGCCGCGUGAGUGAAGAAGGCUUUCGGGUCGUAAAACUCUGUUGUUGGAGAAGAAUGGUCGGCAGAGUAACUGUUGUCGGCGUGACGGUAUCCAACCAGAAAGCCACGGCUAACUACGUGCCAGCAGCCGCGGUAAUACGUAGGUGGCAAGCGUUAUCCGGAUUUAUUGGGCGUAAAGCGAGCGCAGGCGGUUUUUUAAGUCUGAUGUGAAAGCCCUCGGCUUAACCGAGGAAGUGCAUCGGAAACUGGGAAACUUGAGUGCAGAAGAGGACAGUGGAACUCCAUGUGUAGCGGUGAAAUGCGUAGAUAUAUGGAAGAACACCAGUGGCGAAGGCGGCUGUCUGGUCUGUAACUGACGCUGAGGCUCGAAAGCAUGGGUAGCGAACAGGAUUAGAUACCCUGGUAGUCCAUGCCGUAAACGAUGAAUGCUAGGUGUUGGAGGGUUUCCGCCCUUCAGUGCCGCAGCUAACGCAUUAAGCAUUCCGCCUGGGGAGUACGACCGCAAGGUUGAAACUCAAAGGAAUUGACGGGGGCCCGCACAAGCGGUGGAGCAUGUGGUUUAAUUCGAAGCAACGCGAAGAACCUUACCAGGUCUUGACAUCUUUUGAUCACCUGAGAGAUCAGGUUUCCCCUUCGGGGGCAAAAUGACAGGUGGUGCAUGGUUGUCGUCAGCUCGUGUCGUGAGAUGUUGGGUUAAGUCCCGCAACGAGCGCAACCCUUAUGACUAGUUGCCAGCAUUUAGUUGGGCACUCUAGUAAGACUGCCGGUGACAAACCGGAGGAAGGUGGGGAUGACGUCAAAUCAUCAUGCCCCUUAUGACCUGGGCUACACACGUGCUACAAUGGAUGGUACAACGAGUUGCGAGACCGCGAGGUCAAGCUAAUCUCUUAAAGCCAUUCUCAGUUCGGACUGUAGGCUGCAACUCGCCUACACGAAGUCGGAAUCGCUAGUAAUCGCGGAUCAGCACGCCGCGGUGAAUACGUUCCCGGGCCUUGUACACACCGCCCGUCACACCAUGAGAGUUUGUAACACCCGAAGCCGGUGGCGUAACCCUUUUAGGGAGCGAGCCGUCUAAGGUGGGACAAAUGAUUAGGGUGAAGUCGUAACAAGGUAGCCGUAGGAGAACCUGCGGCUGGA